AUUGAACGCUGGCGGCAGGCUUAACACAUGCAAGUCGAGCGGAGAUGAGGUGCUUGCACCUUAUCUUAGCGGCGGACGGGUGCGUAAUGCUUAGGAAUCUGCCUAUUAGUGGGGGACAACAUUCCGAAAGGGAUGCUAAUACCGCAUACGUCCUACGGGAGAAAGCAGGGGAUCUUCGGACCUUGCGCUAAUAGAUGAGCCUAAGUCGGAUUCGCUAGUUGGUGGGGUAAAGGCCUACCAAGGCGACGAUCUGUAGCGGGUCUGAGGGGAUGAUCCGCCACACUGGGACUUGGACACGGCCCGGACUCCUACGGGAGGCAGCAGUGGGAAAUAUUGGACAAUGGGGGGAACCCUGAUCCAGCCAUGCCGCGUGUGUGAAGAAGGCCUUAUGGUUGUAAAGCACUUUAAGCGAGGAGGAGGCUACUGAGACUAAUACUCUUGGAUAGUGGACGGUACUCGCAGAAUAAGCACCGGCUAACUCUGUGCCAGCCGCCGCCGUAACAC
This 504-nucleotide ribosomal RNA is filed under the name uncultured bacterium. RNAcentral describes it as "bacterial SSU rRNA". It matches the Rfam family "Bacterial small subunit ribosomal RNA", at positions 30 to 526 of the family's 1533-position model. The record is from RNAcentral.